AUUUCAGAGGAAAAAUUUGAACUGAUUGCAACCUCUAUUACCAGAUUUCGUUUUUGGUACUAAAAAAUGCUAAAGCAGUACAU
This is a non-coding RNA of Flavobacterium sp. 40-81, 83 nucleotides long. Lineage: Bacteria; Pseudomonadati; Bacteroidota; Flavobacteriia; Flavobacteriales; Flavobacteriaceae. The record is from Rfam.